RNAcentral lists this ribosomal RNA (137 nucleotides) under Prolemur simus (greater bamboo lemur). The record is from RNAcentral. Lineage: Eukaryota; Metazoa; Chordata; Mammalia; Primates; Lemuridae.
GUCCAUGGCCACACCACCCUGAAUAUACCCGAUCUCGUCCGAUCUCAGAAGCUAAGCAGGGUUGGGCCUGGUUAGUACUUGGAUGGGAGAAUUGUAAAACAAAAACCCAAUCUAAAUAAGAACAGGAGACAUGUACG